RNAcentral lists this ribosomal RNA (253 nucleotides) under uncultured bacterium. RNAcentral describes it as "partial 16S ribosomal RNA". It matches the Rfam family "Bacterial small subunit ribosomal RNA", at positions 524 to 776 of the family's 1533-position model. The record is from RNAcentral.
UACGUAUGGGGCAAGCGUUAUCCGGAUUUACUGGGUGUAAAGGGAGCGUAGGCGGCCUGGCAAGCCUGAUGUGAAAUACCGGGGCCCAACCCCGGGGCUGCAUUGGGAACUGCCAGGCUGGAGUGCCGGAGAGGCAGGCGGAAUUCCUAGUGUAGCGGUGAAAUGCGUAGAUAUUAGGAGGAACACCAGUGGCGAAGGCGGCCUGCUGGACGGUGACUGACGCUGAGGCUCGAAAGCGUGGGGGGCAAACAGG